This 119-nucleotide ribosomal RNA is filed under the name Anolis carolinensis (green anole). Lineage: Eukaryota; Metazoa; Chordata; Lepidosauria; Squamata; Anolidae. The record is from RNAcentral.
UUUGAUGGCUUAAGUAACCUGAAAGCACUAGAUCCCAUCUGGCCUUCUAAGCUAAGCAGGGUCAGUCCUGAUUAGUAUUUGGAUGGGAGAUCGCCAAUGAAUACCAGGUGCUGUAGGCU